CUGGGCGUAAGCGUGCGCAGGCGGUUGUGUAAGUCAGAUGUGAAAUCCCCGGGCUCAACCUGGGAAUUGCAUUUGAGACUGCACGGCUAGAGUGUGUCAGAGGGGGGUAGAAUUCCACGUGUAGCAGUGAAAUGCGUAGAUAUGUGGAGGAAUACCGAUGGCGAAGGCAGCCCCCUGGGAUAACACUGACGCUCAUGCACGAAAGCGUGGGGAGCAAACAGGAUUAGAUACCCUGGUAGUCCACGCCCUAAACGAUGUCUACUAGUUGUCGGGUCUUAAUUGACUUGGUAACGCAGCUAACGCGUGAAGUAGACCGCCUGGGGAGUACGGUCGCAAGAUUAAAACUCAAAGGAAUUGACGGGGACCCGCACAAGCGGUGGAUGAUGUGGAUUAAUUCGAUGCAACGCGAAAAACCUUACCUACCCUUGACAUGGAUGGAAUCCUGAAGAGAUUUGGGAGUGCUCGAAAGAGAACCAUCACACAGGUGCUGCAUGGCUGUCGUCAGCUCGU
RNAcentral lists this ribosomal RNA (510 nucleotides) under uncultured beta proteobacterium. RNAcentral's name for it is "bacterial SSU rRNA". It matches the Rfam family "Bacterial small subunit ribosomal RNA", at positions 554 to 1063 of the family's 1533-position model. Lineage: Bacteria; Pseudomonadati; Pseudomonadota; Betaproteobacteria. The record is from RNAcentral.